UACAGAGGUCCCAAGCGUUGUUCGGAUUUACUGGGCGUAAAGGGUGCGUAGGCGGCGAGGAAAGUUCGGGGUGAAAUCUCCAGGCUCAACUUGGAAAUUGCCCUGAAGACUUCCUUGCUCGAGGGUCGCAGAGGAGACUGGAAUUCUCGGUGUAGCAGUGAAAUGCGUAGAUAUCGAGAGGAACACCAGUGGCGAAAGCGGGUUUCUGGGCUGACACUGACGCUGAGGCGCGAAAGCCAGGGGAGCAAACGGG
Molecule: ribosomal RNA, 253 nt
Filed under: uncultured prokaryote
Description: partial 16S ribosomal RNA
Rfam family: Bacterial small subunit ribosomal RNA
Source: RNAcentral